GUGCACCAGUCGAGAAUACUUUACAAUGUGCGAAAGCACGAUAAGGGAACUCUGAGUGCCUCCUAAGGAGGCUGUUCAGGUGUCUAAAAAGCACCUGGAGUAAGGGCUGGGUAAGACCGGUGCCAGCCGCCGCGGUAACACCGGCAGCCCAGGUGGUAGCCACUUUUAUUGGGUCUAAAGCGUCCGUAGCCGGUUGAGUAAGUUCCUUGGGAAAUUUGGCUGCUCAACAGUCAAGCUUCCAGGGAAUACUGCUCGACUUGGGGACUGGGAGAGGUCAGAGGUACUCCAGGGGUAGGGGUGAAAUCCAUUAAUCCCUGGGGGACCACCGGUAGCGAAGGCGUCUGACCAGACCAGGUCCGACGGUGAGGGACGAAGGCUAGGGUCGCGAACCGGAUUAGAUACCCCUGUAGU
Molecule: ribosomal RNA, 411 nt
Filed under: uncultured microorganism
Description: bacterial SSU rRNA
Rfam family: Archaeal small subunit ribosomal RNA
Source: RNAcentral